ACCUGCCCACUGAAAGUUUAAAUGGCCGCAGUAUAUUAACUGUGCAAAGGUAGCAUAAUCAUUAGUCUUUUAAUUGAAGGCUGGUAUGAAUGGUUGGACGAAAUAUUAACUGUUUCAGAUAAAUUUAAUGUAGAAUUUUAUUUUUUAGUUAAAAAGCUAAAAUUUAUUUAAAAGACGAGAAGACCCUAUAAAUCUUGAUAUUUUAUUUUAUUUUAAUUAUAAAGAAUGAUUAUAUUAAAAUAAAGCAAAAUAUUUUAUUGGGGUGAUAUUAAAAUUUAAUAAACUUUUAAUUUGUUAAAUCAUUAAUUUAUGAAUAAUUGAUCCAGUUAUACUGAUUAAAAAUUGAAGUUACUUUAGGGAUAACAGCGUAAUUUUUUUGGAGAGUUCAUAUCGAUAAAAAAGAUUGCGACCUCGAUGUUGGAUUAAGAGAUACUUUUAGGUGUAGCCGCUUAAAUUUUAAGUCUGUUCGACUUUUAAAUUCUU
RNAcentral lists this ribosomal RNA (483 nucleotides) under Sapromyza ultima. Its description in RNAcentral is "partial 16S ribosomal RNA". It matches the Rfam family "Bacterial large subunit ribosomal RNA", at positions 1857 to 2597 of the family's 2925-position model. The record is from RNAcentral. Lineage: Eukaryota; Metazoa; Arthropoda; Insecta; Diptera; Lauxaniidae.